UGGGAACGUACCCUUUGGUUCGGAACAACCCAGGGAAACUUGGGCUAAUACCGGAUAAGUCCGUAAGGAGAAAGAUUUAUCGCCAAAGGAUCGGCCCGCGUCUGAUUAGCUAGUUGGUAGGGUAAUGGCCUACCAAGGCUACGAUCGGUAGCUGGUCUGAGAGGAUGAUCAGCCACAUUGGGACUGAGACACGGCCCAAACUCCUACGGGAGGCAG
This 216-nucleotide ribosomal RNA is filed under the name uncultured bacterium. RNAcentral's name for it is "partial 16S ribosomal RNA". It matches the Rfam family "Bacterial small subunit ribosomal RNA", at positions 118 to 351 of the family's 1533-position model. The record is from RNAcentral.